This is a long non-coding RNA of Dioscorea cayenensis subsp. rotundata (Guinea yam), 1166 nucleotides long. RefSeq lists it as uncharacterized. The record is from RefSeq and is a predicted model, not a curated record. The transcript has 2 exons. Lineage: Eukaryota; Viridiplantae; Streptophyta; Magnoliopsida; Dioscoreales; Dioscoreaceae.
CACAACACCAAGGACUUUGUUAUCCAAAGGGUAAAGAGUUAGAAAUAAAAGACACAGAGAGGAGAUGAGAGAGGAGAGGUUGAGGAGAGGGAUAAGAGCCAAGAAGAAACAAGACCAUGUGAGUAGUGAUCAGUGUUUCAGAGAGGAAUCUUAUUCAAGGCCACUUCCCAAGGCCACCACCACCACCACCUCUCCUCUCCUCUAUCCUCCUCAUCAUCUCCACCUCUCAACCCCUUCUUUUCAAACAUUUUUAAGCUUCAAUUCACACCUCCUCAAAACCACACCAAAACCUCUCUUCUUCUUCUUCUUCUUCUUGUUAUUAUUAUUAUUAUUAUUAUUAUUAUUAGUAUCCAUACUUCAUCCUUCUUCUUUUUUUUAACUUACAUGAAGGACAUAGCUUUGUUGAUCACUUGAUGUUUUAUUUUGGUUUGUUAAGUUGUAUGGAUUUGGAAGAGGAGCUCCUUGAAGUCCAAAAGAGAGUCUUGAAAGAGCUUGGUUGAGCUGCUGAGUUAUGGAUUCCACUAUCCUAUUCCAUGUUUUUUAUUAUACAAAGAACUAGAGAUAUAGAGAGAGCUAAAGAGGAAAGAAGUUAAAGGAGUUAAUUUGGGAUAGGUUUGUGGGUUGCAUGAUUCAGGAGCUGCAUUAGUUCUUUCAGACUUUUGUUUGGAUUGAAGGGAGCUCUACAUCUAUAUUUUAUGUGACUAACUCUUCUCUAUUUUAUUUAUUAUUUUUUCUUUUGUUUACUUAAGUUUCUAUUUUGACAUUUAUUUUUACUGUGUUUUUUGUUUAUUGAUGAUUCUAUUGAAGUUUUGUGGUUUUUCUCUUAAGUGGUUGGUGGGAUGCCAUUGUCCACUCAUUUUAUUGGAUUCUUAUAUGCAAUGAACUCUACUUCCAUUUACUAUUUAUGGUUUGGUUUUUUAGUUUUUUUUUUUUUUCCUAAAUUUUAUCAGCAUGUGCUUUGAUGAGUGUUUUGCUCGUUGGGAAGAUUAUUAUCAUUGGAUCUGGGAGUUGAAGAUCUCACGGAUGGAGAGUUUAUUAUUAUUAUUUUUUAUUUUUUUUCAUUAUUUAUUUAUAAGAUUGUUACUUAAGUUCUGUAAUUUUUUACAAUUAAUGUCAAAUUUUGGAGAGAACAAUUACAAGUACCGAAAGAUAUUUUCAUUGGCAUA